This 496-nucleotide ribosomal RNA is filed under the name uncultured bacterium. RNAcentral's name for it is "partial 16S ribosomal RNA". It matches the Rfam family "Bacterial small subunit ribosomal RNA", at positions 28 to 523 of the family's 1533-position model. The record is from RNAcentral.
GAUGAACGCUAGCGGCAGGCCUAACACAUGCAAGUCGAGGGGUAGAGGAAGCUUGCUUCCUUGAGACCGGCGCACGGGUGCGUAACGCGUAUGCAAUCUACCUUUUACAGAGGGAUAGCCCAGAGAAAUUUGGAUUAAUACCUCAUAGUAUAUAUCAUUCGCCUGUUUGAUAUAUUAAAGUUCCAACGGUAAAAGAUGAGCAUGCGUCCCAUUAGUUAGUUGGUAAGGUAACGGCUUACCAAGACGAUGAUGGGUAGGGGUCCUGAGAGGGAGAUCCCCCACCCUGGUACUGAGACACGGACCAGACUACUGCGGGAGGCAGCAGUGAGGAAUAUUGGUCAAUGGACGCAAGUCUGAACCAGCCAUGCCGCGUGCAGGAAGACGGUCCUAUGGAUUGUAAACUGCUUUUGUACGGGAAGAAACACUCUUACGUGUAGGAGCCUGACGGUACCGUAAGAAUAAGGAUCGGCUAACUCCGUGCCAGCCGCCGCAGUAA